This 513-nucleotide ribosomal RNA is filed under the name Lethe kansa (bamboo forester). Its description in RNAcentral is "partial 16S ribosomal RNA". Lineage: Eukaryota; Metazoa; Arthropoda; Insecta; Lepidoptera; Nymphalidae. The record is from RNAcentral.
GUCUUUUUGAGUAUAAUUUAAAGUCUAAUCUGCCCACUGAUAAUUAUUAAAGGGCUGCAGUAUAUUGACUGUACAAAGGUAGCAUAAUCAUUAGUUUUUUAAUUGAAAACUUGUAUGAAGGAUUUGAUGAAAUAUGAACUGUCUCUUAAUUAUUAUUAUUAAAAAUUUAUUUUUUAGUUAAAAAGCUAAAAUAAUUUUAAAAGACGAGAAGACCCUAUAGAGUUUUAUAUUUUAUUGGAUAUUAAAAUUAUAUAAAAAUUAAAAUUAAUAUUUAAUAAAAUAUUAUAUUGGGGUGAUAGAAAAAUUAAAAUAACUUUUUUUAAAAAUUAACCAUAAAUAAAUGAAUAAAUGAUCCAUUAUUAAUGAUUAAAAGAAAAAAUUACCUUAGGGAUAACAGCGUAAUAUUUUUUUUUAGUUCAAAUAAAAAGAAAAGUUUGCGACCUCGAUGUUGGAUUAAGAUAAAAUUUAAAUGCAAACGUUUAAAAUUUUGAUCUGUUCGAUCAUUAAAAUCUU